RNAcentral lists this ribosomal RNA (342 nucleotides) under Salmonella enterica subsp. enterica serovar Infantis. Its description in RNAcentral is "partial 23S ribosomal RNA". It matches the Rfam family "Bacterial large subunit ribosomal RNA", at positions 1211 to 1556 of the family's 2925-position model. RNAcentral also lists the same sequence under 1 other name. The record is from RNAcentral. Lineage: Bacteria; Pseudomonadati; Pseudomonadota; Gammaproteobacteria; Enterobacterales; Enterobacteriaceae.
ACUCAGGUGUUGUUGGGUAGGGGAGCGUUCUGUAAGCCUGCGAAGGUGGCCUGUGAGGGUUGCUGGAGGUAUCAGAAGUGCGAAUGCUGACAUAAGUAACGAUAAAGCGGGUGAAAAGCCCGCUCGCCGGAAGACCAAGGGUUCCUGUCCAACGUUAAUCGGGGCAGGGUGAGUCGACCCCUAAGGCGAGGCCGAAAGGCGUAGUCGAUGGGAAACGGGUUAAUAUUCCCGUACUUGGUGUUACUGCGAAGGGGGGACGGAGAAGGCUAUGUUGGCCGGGCGACGGUUGUCCCGGUUUAAGCGUGUAGGUGUGUGUUCCAGGUAAAUCCGGUUCACUUUAAC